Molecule: ribosomal RNA, 271 nt
Filed under: uncultured bacterium
Lineage: Bacteria
Description: partial 16S ribosomal RNA
Rfam family: Bacterial small subunit ribosomal RNA
Source: RNAcentral
UACGAAGGGUGCUAGCGUUGUUCGGAAUCACUGGGCGUAAAGCGUACGUAGGUGGUUAGGUAAGUCGAUUGUGAAAGCCCCGGGCUCAACUCGGGAAUUGCAAUCGAAACUGCCUAGCUAGAGUAUGGUCGGGGAUAGUGGAAUUUCUAGUGUAGGGGUGAAAUCCGUAGAUAUUAGAAGGAAUACUGGUGGCGAAAGCGACUGUCUAGGCCAUCACUGACACUGAGGUACGAAAGCGUGGGGAGCAAACAGGAUUAGAAACCCCAGUAGU